RNAcentral lists this long non-coding RNA (1197 nucleotides) under Podarcis muralis (Common wall lizard). RNAcentral's name for it is "lncRNA (ENSPMRG00000009289.1)". Lineage: Eukaryota; Metazoa; Chordata; Lepidosauria; Squamata; Lacertidae. The record is from RNAcentral.
CUGCGUACAAUAAUGCUGAACAUGUGUCCACGGGAAUGAGCCCUUUCAUGGCCAAUUACGGGUGUCACCCCAGGGCAUUCCCGGGGCGGGGGGAGGAAGGAUGGAGCGUACCUGCGACUGAGCAAUUUGUGAAGGAAAUGGAGGCCUUACACCAGCAACUUAGGCUGAACUUAGAGUGGGCCAAGGAAGUUUACAAGAGGCAGGCGGAUAGGCACCGUCGGGAGGGAGGAGGCCAUACGGGUGGAAGACCGGGUGUGGUUGUCAUCCCAAGGGUUGCCCCUAAAGGGAGGGUGCAAGAAGUUGCAGCCUAGGCGGCUGGGGCCUUUUGAGGUAAUGCAGCAGGUGAACCCAGUGGCGUUUAAACUCAAGUUGCCUGACAGCAUGAAGAUACAUCCGGUGUCCCACAGGUCCCUACUUUCACCGUACAGGGAGGGGUGGGAAUUCCCGGGACUGGAGGGAGGGGUUACCACCCACCCACGAGUCGAGGAGAGGGAACACUGUAACGAAGCCACGGAAAUACUCGAUUCAAGGUGGCGAGGCCGCCAGGUAGAGUACUUGGUAGCCUGGGAGGGGGAACCCAGGUCGGAAAACACGUGGGUCCCGGCUGAAUCAAUCACUGACGAGUAUCUGGUGGAAGAAUUCCACAGUUUGUUCCUGGACAAGCCCAAACCAUUAGCUAGAUUUUGGGAGGAAGAAUUUGGACCCACAGACAACGAAGGGGACUUUGUGGGUUUUCCUGCCUCCGAAGAGGAGGGAGGGGAGGUGCCCGAGGGAGAAGAAUCAGACUGGGAAGUUCAACCAGUGGUUUUGAAUCCUCAGAAGAGGAUGACAGCACUUUCAGGGGAUUCCCCGCAUCGUCGGCCAAGGAGAGAGAGGAGGUUGUGUCGGAAAAUGGUGCCGGGAGUGGGAGGGGUCCUGAGGAGGAGGUGGAUGUCAGGGAACUGCCAUCAGAGCCAGAGGGAGAGAGCAAGCUCCAGAGGGAUCCCAGAGAGCGUCCCGGGAUUGGGGGAGGCAGCCCAUCUUCUGAGGAAGGGAAUCAGCUUAGCUCCAGUGGAGAAGGGCGGCAGAUGGGGGAAUCUGAGAGGGGGUCACAUGACUCCUUGCCGGGGACCAGCAGGGGGAGGAAGGGUCCUCUGCUGCCUACGCCCUCCUUGCGCAGAAGGCUUCCGCACAGGGAGAGUAGGAAGAGACUGGGCG